This 2115-nucleotide ribosomal RNA is filed under the name Abraliopsis sp. 2 FFA-2023. RNAcentral describes it as "SSU rRNA". Lineage: Eukaryota; Metazoa; Mollusca; Cephalopoda; Oegopsida; Enoploteuthidae. The record is from RNAcentral.
ACCUGGUUGAUCCUGCCAGUAGUCAUAUGCUUGUCUCAAAGCUUAAGCCAUGCAAGUGUAAGUUCACGCCACGCUUUAGAACGGGCGAAACCGCGAAUGGCUCAGGAACCGGACCUAAUCCUCGGGACCGUAAUCCUCCUCGGAGGCGUUGGAUAACUGUGGCAAUUCUAGAGCUAAUACAUGUGACACAAGCCGCGAUCGGUCGCCGCAUAGUGGUCGCCUCGCCUCGCGCGCUGGCACCCGCGGCGUCCGCCUUGGGUCGCGGCGCUACAUAUUAGACUGAGACCGAUGCACUCUUUAGGUCGUUUCCUUCGGGUUUCGRYUGACGGGGUGCUCCGCUUUGGUGACUCUGGAUAACUCACUGGUCGAUCGCACGGGUCUCGCACCCGGCGACGGGUCCCCCGAGGGUCCGCCCUAUCAACUGUCGACGGUCGGUUAAGUGCCUACCGUGGUUACUACGGGUAACGGGGAAUCGGGGUUCGAUUCCGGAGAGGGAGCAUGCGAAACGGCUACCACAUCCAAGGAAGGCAGCAGGCGCGCAAAUUACCCACUCCCGGCACGGGGAGGUAGUGACGAAAAAUAACGACGCGGGACUCUGUCGAGGCCCCGCGAUCGGAAUGAGUACACUUCAAAUCCGUUAACGAGGACCAACCGGAGGGCAAGUCUGGUGCCAGCAGCCGCGGUAAUUCCAGCUCCGGUAGCGUAUAUUAAAGUUGUUGCGGUUAAAAAGCUCGUAGUCCGAAUUCGGGUUUGUGGUCGCUCACGCGGCCCCGGGGCGGCGGCGCCAUCGUCCAUCGUUGACUUUGGUCGUCCGUUCGCAUUCCCGGCCCUUUCCGCCGGUGUCGAUCGCCAUACGGUUCGGACCUGGAUGGCUYUCGGGUUGUUCGGGCGAGGAUCGGCGGUCUCUCCUCCAAGGGUGCUCUUAACCGAGUGUCCGCGGCGGCCGGUACGUUCACUUUGAAAAAAUUAGAGUGCUCAGAGCGGGCUGUACAAGCUUGCAUACGAUAAGCAUGGAAUGAUGAAAGAGGGCCUCGUCUACGUCUGUCGGUCUCCGUCUGUGGCGAGGCAAUGAUCGAAGGGAGCGGUCGGGGCCACUCGUAUUGCGACGUUAGAGGUGAAAUUCUUGGAUCGUCGCAAGACGAACUGCAGCGAUGGCGUGUGGCAAGCACGUUUUCCUCGAUCAAGAGCGAAAGUCGGAGGUUCGAAGACGAUCAGAUACCGUCGUAGUUCCGACCGUAAACGAUGCCGACCGGCGAUCCGCCGGCGUUCGCUUCCAUGACCCGGCGGGUAGCCUGCGGGAAACCAGAGUUCGGUUCCGGGGGGAGUAUGGUUGCAAAGCUGAAACUUAAAGGAAUUGACGGAAGGGCACCACCAGGAGUGGAGCCUGCGGCUUAAUUUGACUCAACACGGGAAAACUCACCCGGUCCGGACACCGGUAGGAUUGACAGAUCGAUAGCUCUUUCUCGAUUCGGUGGGUGGUGGUGCAUGGCCGUUCUUAGUUGGUGGAGCGAUCCGUCUGGUUGAUUCCGAUAACGAACGAGACUCCGGCCUGCUAACUAGUGUGCCGAUGUAAGUGCGCUUUCCYUCACGGGAUCGCGUGUGCGGGCGCGGCGCGGUCGGUCUAACUGGCUGUCGUCGUGUUCGGGUCGGUUUCUCACGCACUUCUUAGAGGGACGGGUGGCAGAAAGCCACACGAGGCGGAGCGAUAACAGGUCUGUGAUGCCCUUAGAUGUCCGGGGCCGCACGCGCGCUACACUGGAGGUAUCAGCGGGGACUUCGCCCCGGCCCGAGAGGGUCGGGAAACCUCUCAACCACCUCCCGUGAUAGGGAUCGGGGCCUGUAACCAACCCCGUGAACGAGGAAUUCCCGGUAGGCGCGGGUCAACAGCCCGCGUCGAUCACGUCCCUGCCCUUUGUACACACCGCCCGUCGCUACUACCGAUCGAACGGUCCGGUGAGGUCCUCGGAUCUGGCUGACGACGCCGACCCGUGUGCCGCGUUUCGGCGUGGUGCCAUUCGGUGUUCGACGCCUGGAGAAGACGACCGAACCCGAUCGUUUAGAGGAAGUAAAAGUCGUAACAAGGUUUCCGUAGGUGAACCUGCGGAAGGAUCAUUA